UUGUCUUAGUUGCUACGAAAAAACAUCUAAGGAGACUGCCGGUGACAAACCGGAGAAAGGUGGGGAUGACGUCAAAUCAUCAUGGCCCUGUAUGGGUAGGGCUUCAUACGUCAUACAAUGGUCGGAACAGAAGGCUGCCAACCCGUGAGGGGGAUCUAAUCCCAUAAAACCGAUCGUAGCUCCGGAUCGUACUCUGCAACUCGACUACGUGAAACUCGUAAUCGCUAGUAAUCGCGUAUCAGCAUGUCGCCGUGAAUACGUGCCCGGGUCUUGUGCUCACCGCCCGUCACACCAUGGGAGUGUGUUUUUCGAUAAGUGGCGAAUUUAACCGCCUGGACGCCUGGCACACGGUACGAUUCAUGAAUGCGGUAAAGUCGUUAAUGGUAACCGUNUCGGAAUGU
RNAcentral lists this ribosomal RNA (401 nucleotides) under beta proteobacterium W-2047a. RNAcentral describes it as "bacterial SSU rRNA". It matches the Rfam family "Bacterial small subunit ribosomal RNA", at positions 1106 to 1513 of the family's 1533-position model. Lineage: Bacteria; Pseudomonadati; Pseudomonadota; Betaproteobacteria. The record is from RNAcentral.